This 484-nucleotide ribosomal RNA is filed under the name uncultured bacterium. RNAcentral describes it as "partial 16S ribosomal RNA". It matches the Rfam family "Bacterial small subunit ribosomal RNA", at positions 28 to 523 of the family's 1533-position model. The record is from RNAcentral.
GACGAACGCUGGCGGCGUGCUUAACACAUGCAAGUCGAACGAUGAAGCCGGAGCUUGCUCUGGUGAAUUAGUGGCGAACGGGUGAGUAACACGUGAGUAACCUGCCCUUGACUCUGGGAUAACUGCGGGAAACUGUAGCUAAUACCGGAUACGACCAUCGGAGGCAUCUCCUGGGGGUGGAAAGAAUUUCGGUCAAGGAUGGACUCGCGGCCUAUCAGCCAGUUGGUGAGGUAAAGGCUCACCAAGGCGACGACGGGUAGCCGGCCUGAGAGGGUGACCGGCCACACUGGGACUGAGACACUGCCCAGACUCCUACGGGAGGAAGCAGUGGGGAAUAUUGCACAAUGGGCGCAAGCCUGAUGCAGCAACGCCGCGUGAGGGAUGACGGCCUUCGGGUUGUAAACCUCUUUUAGCAGGGAAGAAGCGAAAGUGACGGUACCUGCAGAAAAAGCACCGGCUAACUACGUGCCAGCCGCCGCCGUAA